UUGAAUAAACUUAGUGGGUUGUUGCUGGCUCUGAGGGGCAUGUGCACACCUGCUGUUUACCACCUUCACCUGUGCACAUUUUGUAGACUUGGAUAUCAUUCGAGGCAACUUGGUUUGAAGACUGCAGGCUUUUCACAAGGUCUGCUUUCUUUGCAUUUCUCGGUCUAUGUUUUCAUAUACACUAUUAUAAUGUUAUAGAAUGUACAUUAAUAGGCAUUGAUGCCUUUAAACUUUAAUA
This 238-nucleotide unclassified non-coding RNA is filed under the name uncultured Agaricales. RNAcentral's name for it is "sequence contains ITS1". Lineage: Eukaryota; Fungi; Basidiomycota; Agaricomycetes; Agaricales. The record is from RNAcentral.